Molecule: ribosomal RNA, 254 nt
Filed under: uncultured bacterium
Lineage: Bacteria
Description: partial 16S ribosomal RNA
Rfam family: Bacterial small subunit ribosomal RNA
Source: RNAcentral
GACGAACCGUGCGAACGUUGUCCGGAAUCAUUGGGCGUAAAGAGCUCGUAGGCGGCUCAGUAAGUCGGGUGUGAAGCCUCCAGGCUCAACCUGGAGACGCCACCCGAUACUGCUGUGGCUAGAGUCCAGUAGGGGAGUGUGGAAUUCCCGGUGUAGCGGUGAAAUGCGCAGAUAUCGGGAGGAACACCAGCGGCGAAGGCGGCACUCUGGGCUGGUACUGACGCUGAGGAGCGAAAGCGUGGGUAGCAAACAGG